AGCGAACGCUGGCGGUAGGCCUAACACAUGCAAGUCGAACGGCAGCACAGUAAUAGCUUGCUCUUACGGGUGGCGAGUGGCGGACGGGUGAGGAAUACAUCGGAAUCUACUUUUUCGUGGGGGCUAACGUAGGGAAACUUACGCUAAUACCGCAUACGACCUACGGGUGAAAGCAGGGGAUCUUCGGACCUUGCGCGAUUGAAUGAGCCGAUGUCGGAUUAGCUAGUUGGCGGGGUAAAGGCCCACCAAGGCGACGAUCCGUAGCUGGUCUGAGAGGAUGAUCAGCGACACUGGAACUGAGACACGGUCCAGAGUCCGACGGGAGGCAGCAGUGGGGAAUAUUGGACAAUGGGCGCAAGCCUGAUCCAGCCAUACCGCGUGGGUGAAGAAGGCCUUCGGGUUGUAAAGCCGUUUUGUUGGGAAAGAAAAGCAGCAGGUUAAUACCCCGCUGUUCUGACGGUACCCAAAGAAUAAGCACCGGCUAACUUCGUG
This 492-nucleotide ribosomal RNA is filed under the name uncultured bacterium. RNAcentral describes it as "partial 16S ribosomal RNA". It matches the Rfam family "Bacterial small subunit ribosomal RNA", at positions 29 to 507 of the family's 1533-position model. The record is from RNAcentral.